AUUUAUUUACCGAAGCGAUGCAACGAAGCUAAACAUGAUAUAUAACAAAUCAUCAAGCUAAAGAAAAGACGCUGCUUGCACGACUCUUUAUUGGGGAAGAAGGUGUUUCAUUUUUCAUACCAGUGAACCAGAAUUGGCUGGAUGUUCGAAGUGUCAGGAAUUUGUCUAAUAUCUUUAAUUGUUGCUUCAAGACGGAUGAAAUAAACUAGUGUCGAACUAAUUGUCCAAUAGAUGCUGCAAAGGAACGCGCCCCAUGUAUGAUAUUUCAAAAUGACCAACCGGUUCCUCCCGGAAAUCGAUGGCUCCUAGCAGAACGAAUGUGUUAUUGUGCAGGGGUUAACAAAUUGAUGAGACGACUUGAAACAUGCUUUUCGGAAACCUUGUUAUUCAAGGACUACGUGAAUAGCUUGACCAAUGAAAACAAAAUUGAUCAUGUAGUGUACAAGUGGAUUCACUUGAGCUGAUAUAAAUAACAUAGUCGAUCUGUUAAGAGCCGAUAUUGAUGGAGCAGAAGUGGUUUCGAUAAAUAAUUUGGAGAAAGCUUGAUAUAAGGUUAUAACGAUAUAUACGAGAUAAAGGAAUCGCACAAUCAUGUCAUGCGGGCCAUCGCUGGACAAUACCGCGAAAAUCAAACAGGAGGAAGGCUAUCAAGUCACCAAUCAGCACCUGUGGUUCAAAAUAUAAUCCAAAUUUGAUGAUACGAAGGAAUUGAAGUAUGGACAUCACAUCAACGCAAUGUUAUUGUCGUUAAAUCUAUAAGGGAGAUCACGAUCGAAGCAAUCGAAGA
This is a long non-coding RNA of Toxorhynchites rutilus septentrionalis, 787 nucleotides long. RefSeq lists it as uncharacterized. NCBI's taxonomy places the organism in Eukaryota, Metazoa, Arthropoda, Insecta, Diptera, Culicidae. The transcript has 4 exons. The record is from RefSeq and is a predicted model, not a curated record.